Molecule: long non-coding RNA, 632 nt
Filed under: Capsicum annuum
Lineage: Eukaryota; Viridiplantae; Streptophyta; Magnoliopsida; Solanales; Solanaceae
Description: long non-coding RNA (CANN_LNC021927)
Source: RNAcentral
ACUGGAAAGCACAGAAAGGAGAAUACUUAAUACUGAUAAGAACUAGUGUCCAUAUGUAAGAGUAUCACCAUGCAAGGGGUGAUGGGGCUAGGAAGGCUUAGCAUACAAUUUUUCACAAAGCAUAUUUACAAGAGCAGAAGAGCCAACCAAAAAGGUGAAAAUCUAGCUAGCCUAUGUACUUCAAUCAAUAAAAAUGGCCCAGCAAAAUGGAAGGAGCCCGAAUCGACCUGGAACUUGAACUUUUAAUAUUUGGGGCAAUGGAUUGAAGUUAUCCAUGCAUUUCAUUCCAGCUCCACCUGUGAAGAAAUGAGAAUGAGUCUAAACUUUAGAUUAACCAAACACAACAGUAUAGCUUACCAGAUAAAAGAAUGAGAGAACGAACUGCCAGGAGAUUGGAUCAAACAGAGUGUUGCACUCUUCUCCAUCUAUCAGAGGUCUCAGCUGGAAAAAAUAAAAAUCAGGCAAAACAACAAAGAAAUCAAAACAAGGAAGAAACAUUACUCGUGAUAGCUGAUACAGCAGGACAUGGAAGGAUUAAGCCAAAAAAGUUAAUGACCCAAGGAAGUAGUAUGAUGAAAGUGGAGUUAUCAUGCGGUGGCAACAUAACUAUAGGUGGGGGAUUGGAAAUGGAA